UGUCUUACUCCCUAAAGUAUCACCGUUGUUUAUUUAGGCAUACAUUUUAUUACCUUUCUGAUAUAGCCAGCACAGGAGAUUUACUGCAGAUGCUUUAAAGAAACCUGUGUUUCCAAAGGCUUACAUGUAGAAGAAACGUUCUAAACAAAUCAAUUGGAAUUAUAUUUCUAAAGAUGUAUGAAAAAUUCUUGAAUUGGAAGACAAGUGCAUUUCUAUUAAGCCACUAUGAGACAAAUUCGGAUUCAUAGCCCCUUUUUCUUCACAUUGCAAUGGAUCAUCUAGAAUGACAGUAAGACAUUACAUAUCGUUCCAAAACGUAGGAACACGUGCCAACUUCAGCAAACUGUGCCUCCAGAGUUAAAAACCUUAUACAAUGUGGAUCCAGGAAAUCACAAUUUCAAGCCCAAGAAAUAGAGUGGAAAAGAGUUGACUGCCAGUAAACAAAUGGACACAGUUUCGAGAACAACUGGAAAUACCAGCCAAAAGGGAAAAAAACUAUACUGUGCAUCAAUUUGUAAAAUAAAAAGGGACAUCCAGCAGUUGGAUAGUACAGGACUAGAUGUUUUUAAUAUGAUAUAGUUUUAAGGUCUAGGUUAUCUUUUCUAAACCUAUAGUCAGAGUAGGGUUUUAUAAGUAUAUUUUAUAAUGGGUUUUAAAUUUUAAUUUACAGUGGAAUCUCGACUUAAGAGCAUUCUAAUUUAAGAACAUUUUGAGUUAAGAGCUGUUGCUUGGCCUGGGUUUUGCUUUGACAUAUGAGCAGAGUUUUGAGUUAAGAGCUAGUGUCAGAGGGAGUGCUAGCAUCAAUGAGAGUGCUUGUAGGAGAGGGAGUGCAAGCACAAGAGUACAGGGUUUUAAUACUAAUAUUAAUACACUUUAUUUAUUUUAUGCUUAUCUCCCCUGAGGGACUCAGAGUGAAUUACACUACACAUAUAAGGCAAAUAUUCAGUGCCUUUUUAUACAACAACAUACUAAGAGCCAAAACCAAGGUCACUACAACAUCUGUUAUAGAACUCCAAUAUGCCGAUGACAACGUAGUCUGUGCGCACUCAGAAGAAGACCUACAAGCCACUCUAAACACCUUUGCAGAAGCAUACGAGAAGCUCGGCCUCUCAUUGAACAUCAAGAAAACCAAAGUGCUCUUCCAACAGGCACCAGCUAAUCCCUCUGAAAUACCAGGAAUACAACUUAAUGGUGUCACAUUAGAAAACGUUGACCAUUUCCGCUACCAUGGCAGCCACCUCUCCCCAAAAGUCAACAUCGACACCGAAAUACAACACCGCCUGAGCUCUGCAAGUGCAGCAUUUUUCCAUAUGAAGCAGAGAGUGUUUGAGGAUCAGGACAUCCGUAGAGAUACCAAGGUGCUUGUUUAUAAAGCCAUUGUCCUCCCAACCCUGCUCUACGCCUGCAAAACGUGGACAGUCUACAGACGUCACUCUCAACUCCUGGAGCGUUUCCAUCAGCGCUGCCUCAGAAAAAUCCUACAAAUCUCUUGGGAAGACAGGCGGACAAAUGUCAGCGUGCUGGAAGAAGCAAAGACCACCAGCAUUGAAGCGAUGCUCCUACGCCAUCAACUCCGCUGGACUGGCCACGUUGUCCGAAUGCCCGAUCACCGUCUCCCAAAGCAGCUACUGUACUCUGAACUCAAGAACAGGAAACGUAAUGUUGGUGAGCAGGAAAAGAGAUUUAAAGAUGGGCUCAAAGCCAACCUUAAAAACUGUGGCAUAGACACUGAGAACUGGGAAGCCCUGGCCCUUGAGCGCUCUAAUUGGAGGUCAGCUGUGACCAGCAGUGCUGUGGAGUUCGAAGAGGCACGAAUGGAGGGCUUAAGGGAGAAACGUGCCAAGAGGAAGGAACGUGAAGCCAACCGUGACUAG
This is a long non-coding RNA of Anolis carolinensis (green anole), 1874 nucleotides long. Lineage: Eukaryota; Metazoa; Chordata; Lepidosauria; Squamata; Anolidae. The record is from Ensembl.